RNAcentral lists this transfer RNA (72 nucleotides) under Neosalanx taihuensis. RNAcentral describes it as "tRNA-Trp". It matches the Rfam family "tRNA". From Rfam's summary of the family: Transfer RNA (tRNA) molecules are approximately 80 nucleotides in length. Their secondary structure includes four short double-helical elements and three loops (D, anti-codon, and T loops). Further hydrogen bonds mediate the characteristic L-shaped molecular structure. tRNAs have two regions of fundamental functional importance: the anti-codon, which is responsible for specific mRNA codon recognition, and the 3' end, to which the tRNAs corresponding amino acid is attached (by aminoacyl-tRNA synthetases). tRNAs cope with the degeneracy of the genetic code in two manners: having more than one tRNA (with a specific anti-codon) for a particular amino acid; and 'wobble' base-pairing, i.e. permitting non-standard base-pairing at the 3rd anti-codon position. RNAcentral also lists the same sequence under 1 other name. Lineage: Eukaryota; Metazoa; Chordata; Actinopteri; Osmeriformes; Salangidae. The record is from RNAcentral.
AGGGGCUUAGGAUAGAAUUCAGACCAAGGGCCUUCAAAGCCCUAAGUGAGGGUGAAAAUCCCUCAGCCCCUG